UCAGAUUUCCUUUCAAGAGAGUUUCUUGCAAGAGAGCAGUUAGCUGACAACUGUGAGCUGCUAUAUUUUCAAAAUCCCCAGCAUAUUUUUAGCAGGCCAUGCUCUACCUUGGUUAAUGCCUGUCAAUGACUGAGUAUGGUGGAAGUACUAGUGCCAGGCCAUUUCUUCACAAGUGGUAAAUCCCUUUAACAAGCGUAUUUUGUGUUCUAAUCAUCCUGACUGAAGCUUGCUCAGGCAUACCCUACAGUCUGAUCUCCCUACUACUCAAUUUUCCUUCCUUCACUCUUUCCUUUUAUAGGUGUCAGAACUGUAUUUCUAUCUGCAAGCUCCUUGUGUUUUCUCUUAAACCCUGUUCCAAUGAUGUUACCCAGGCAUUUCUAGCAAAAAAUAUUUGCGGGUUUAAUUCUUUCUGUGUCUGAUUCUUGAAAAUCUUAAACUUAGAUGACUCUCAAGUUGACUCACUUGGAAAACUAAAAUGUUAUCCUUCAUUCUUCUCUCUGCCUUUUCUUCAGUGUCUAACUGAUCCCCUAACAAUGCCACCUUAGAAACGCUCACUCUCAUCCCUUUUCUCUACUGCCCAGCAGAAUCUCUGUUGGAUCCUCAUUACUUUUCUGAGUUACAGAUGGAAUUUCUUAAAUUGUGCCCCUGAUUCUAGUCUUGAUAUCUUCAACCUACAAAAGUAGGUUGAAUAUGCAGCCAGACUAAUACGGCAAAGUUAAUGUUGUAGUUCCUCCUCAGGAGGCUUGCAAACGCAAAUGCCUCAGGGAACUGGCAGGUUAUAUAAAUGAGUGAAGCAAGUGAAGAGUGUGGUGACCCAUAAAAGUGCCUUUUCUUCCACGAAAAGCAAAUUUCUCAGGUGUAAGGCAACACCGAUCCAGUAUGAAUUCCUGGUUUUUCCUUUUCUUUGUUUUUAAGGUUUAAGGAAACUAGGUUUUAAUUUUUUAAGUUUUUGUAGGUACAUGG
This 963-nucleotide long non-coding RNA is filed under the name Homo sapiens (human). RNAcentral's name for it is "HSALNT0057130". Lineage: Eukaryota; Metazoa; Chordata; Mammalia; Primates; Hominidae. The record is from RNAcentral.